RNAcentral lists this ribosomal RNA (497 nucleotides) under uncultured bacterium. Its description in RNAcentral is "partial 16S ribosomal RNA". It matches the Rfam family "Bacterial small subunit ribosomal RNA", at positions 28 to 507 of the family's 1533-position model. The record is from RNAcentral.
GAUGAACGCUGGCGGCGUGCCUAAUACAUGCAAGUCGAGCGAACAGACGAGGAUCUUGCUCCUCUGACGUUAGCGGCGGACGGGUGAGUAACACGUGGAUAACCUACCUAUAAGACUGGGAUAACUUCGGGAAACCGGAGCUAAUACCGGAUAAUAUAUUGAACCGCAUGGUUCAAUAGUGAAAGACGGUUUUGCUGUCACUUAUAGAUGCAUCGGCGCCGCAUUAGCUAGUUGGUAAGGUAACGGCUUACCAAGGCAACGAUGCGUAGCCGACCUGAGAGGGUGAUCGGCCACACUGGAACUGAGACACGGUCCAGACUCCUACGGGAGGCAGCAGUAGGGAAUCUUCCGCAAUGGGCGAAAGCCUGACGGAGCAACGCCGCGUGAGUGAUGAAGGUCUUCGGAUCGUAAAACUCUGUUAUUAGGGAAGAACAAAUGUGUAAGUAACUAUGCACGUCUUGACGGUACCUAAUCAGAAAGCCACGGCUAACUACGUG